Molecule: ribosomal RNA, 490 nt
Filed under: uncultured bacterium
Lineage: Bacteria
Description: bacterial SSU rRNA
Rfam family: Bacterial small subunit ribosomal RNA
Source: RNAcentral
GACGAACGCUGGCGGCGUGCUUAACACAUGCAAGUCGAACGAAGCACUUUAUUACGAUUCCUUCGGGAUGACGAUAUAGUGACUGAGUGGCGGACGGGUGAGUAACGCGUGGGUAACCUACCUUAUACAGGGGGAUAGCAGUUGGAAACGACUGAUAAUACCGCAUAAGCGCACAGCUUCGCAUGAAGCAGUGUGAAAAGCCGAGACGGUAUAAGAUGGACCCGCGUCUGAUUAGCUAGUUGGUGAGGUAACGGCUCACCAAGGCGACGAUGCGUAGCCGACCUGAGAGGGUGAUCGGCCACAUUGGGACUGAGACACGGCCCAGACUCCUACGGGAGGCAGCAGUGGGGAAUAUUGCACAAUGGGGGAAACCCUGAUGCAGCAACGCCGCGUGAGUGAUGACGGUCUUCGGAUUGUAAAGCUCUGUCUUUAGGGACGAUAAUGACGGUACCUAAGGAGGAAGCCACGGCUAACUACGUGCCAGCAGCCG